UCCUACGGGGCGCAGCAGUGGGGAAUAUUGCACAAUGGGGGAAACCCUGAUGCAGCGACGCCGCGUGAGCGAUGAAGUCUUUCGGUAUGUAAAGCUCUAUCAGCAGGGAAGAAAAUGACGGUACCUGACUAAGAAGCCCCGGCUAACUACGUGCCAGCAGCCGCGGUAAUACGUAGGGGGCAAGCGUUAUCCGGAUUUACUGGGUGUAAAGGGGGCGCAGACGGCAGCGCAAGCCAGGAGUGAAAACCCGGGG
This 253-nucleotide ribosomal RNA is filed under the name uncultured bacterium. RNAcentral describes it as "partial 16S ribosomal RNA". It matches the Rfam family "Bacterial small subunit ribosomal RNA", at positions 337 to 607 of the family's 1533-position model. The record is from RNAcentral.